AGAGUUUUGAUCAUGGCUCAGGAUGAACGCUGGCGGCGUGCUUAACACAUGCAAGUCGAACGGAAAGGCCACAGCUUGCUGUGGUACUCGAGUGGCGAACGGGUGAGUAACACGUGGGUGAUCUGCCCUGUACUUCGGGAUAAGCUUGGGAAACUGGGUCUAAUACCGGAUAGGAAUCACAUGUGGGUGUGUGGUUGGAAAGCUUUUGCGGUAUGGGAUGAGCUCGCGGCCUAUCAGCUUGUUGGUGGGGUAAUGGCCUACCAAGGCGUCGACGGGUAGCCGGCCUGAGAGGGUGUACGGCCACAUUGGGACUGAGAUACGGCCCAGACUCCUACGGGAGGCAGCAGUGGGGAAUAUUGCACAAUGGGCGCAAGCCUGAUGCAGCGACGCCGCGUGGGGGAUGACGGCCUUCGGGUUGUAAACUCCUUUCGUCAGGGACGAAGCGAAAGUGACGGUACCUGGAUAAGAAGCACCGGCUAACUACGUGCCAGCAGCCGCGGUAAUACGUAGGGUGCGAGCGUUGUCCGGAAUUACUGGGCGUAAAGAGCUCGUAGGUGGUUUGUCGCGUCGUUUGUGUAAGUCCACGGCUUAACUGUGGGAUGGCAGGCGAUACGGGCAUAACUUGAGUGCUGUAGGGGAGACUGGAAUUCCUGGUGUAGCGGUGAAAUGCGCAGAUAUCAGGAGGAACACCGAUGGCGAAGGCAGGUCUCUGGGCAGUAACUGACGCU
This 728-nucleotide ribosomal RNA is filed under the name Corynebacterium sanguinis. RNAcentral describes it as "bacterial SSU rRNA". It matches the Rfam family "Bacterial small subunit ribosomal RNA", at positions 8 to 747 of the family's 1533-position model. The record is from RNAcentral. Lineage: Bacteria; Bacillati; Actinomycetota; Actinomycetes; Mycobacteriales; Corynebacteriaceae.